AGCCUGAGACGUGAUGCGUAGCCGAUUGAGGCGAAUUCAGUGAUCCUAUGCUGCCGAGAAAAGCCUCUAGCGAGCUUUCACACGGCCCGUACCCCAAACCGACACAGGUGGUCAGGUAGAGAAUACUAAGGCGAUCGAGAUAACUGUGGUUAAGGAACUCGGCAAAAUGCCCCCGUAACUUCGGGAGAAGGGGGGCCUCUGCCGGUGACCGGACUUGCUCCGUGAGCUGGUGGGGGCCGCAGAGACCAGAGAGAAGCGACUGUUUACUAAAAACACAGGUCCGUGCGAAGUCGUAAGACGAUGUAUACGGACUGACGCCUGCCCGGUGCUGGAAGGUUAAGAGGACCGGUUAGCCAGUAAUGGCGAAGCUGAGAAUUUAAGCCCCAGUAAACGGCGGUGGUAACUAUAACCAUCCUAAGGUAGCGAAAUUCCUUGUCGGGUAAGUUCCGACCUGCACGAAUGGCGUAACGACUUCUCUGCUGUCUCAACCACAGACUCGGCGAAAUUGCAUUACGAGUAAAGAUGCUCGUUACGCGCGGCAGGACGAAAAGACCCCGGGACCUUCACUAUAGCUUGGUAUUGGUGUUCGGUUCGGUUUGUGUAGGAUAGGUGGGAGACUGUGAAGCAUGCACGCCAGUGUGUGUGGAGUCGUUGUUGAAAUACCACUCUGAUCGUAUUGGACAUCUAACCUCGGACCAUGAUCUGGUUCAGGGACAGUGCCUGGUGGGUAGUUUAACUGGGGCGGUUGCCUCCCAAAAUGUAACGGAGGCGCCCAAAGGUUCCCUCAGCCUGGUUGGCAAUCAGGUGUCGAGUGCAAGUGCACAAGGGAGCUUGACUGUGAGACUGACAGGUCGAGCAGGGACGAAAGUCGGGACUAGUGAUCCGGCACCGGCAAGUGGAAGCGGUGUCGCUCAACGGAUAAAAGGUACCCCGGGGAUAACAGGCUGAUCUUCCCCAAGAGUCCAUAUCGACGGGAUGGUUUGGCACCUCGAUGUCGGCUCGUCGCAUCCUGGGGCUGGAGUAGGUCCCAAGGGUUGGGCUGUUCGCCCAUUAAAGCGGCACGCGAGCUGGGUUUAGAACGUCGUGAGACAGUUCGGUCUCUAUCCGCCGCGCGCGUUAGAAACUUGAGGAAGGCUGUCCCUAGUACGAGAGGACCGGGACGGACGAACCUCUGGUGUGCCAGUUGUUCCGCCAGGAGCACUGCUGGUUAGCUACGUUCGGAAGGGAUAACCGCUGAAAGCAUCUAAGCGGGAAGCCUGUUCCAAGAUGAGGUUUCUCACCCCCUCGAGGGGGUAAGGCCCCCGGCAGACCACCGGGUUGAUAGGCCAGAACUGGAAGUCCGGUAACGGAUGGAGGUGACUGGUACUAAUAGGCCGAGGACUUACCACA
Molecule: ribosomal RNA, 1389 nt
Filed under: Rhodococcus sp. LBL2
Lineage: Bacteria; Bacillati; Actinomycetota; Actinomycetes; Mycobacteriales; Nocardiaceae
Also listed under: 1 other name
Description: partial 23S ribosomal RNA
Rfam family: Bacterial large subunit ribosomal RNA
Source: RNAcentral